Brassica oleracea var. oleracea is the source of this 617-nucleotide RNA transcript. It is a transcript of the gene named sorbitol dehydrogenase-like, with no coding region annotated. Lineage: Eukaryota; Viridiplantae; Streptophyta; Magnoliopsida; Brassicales; Brassicaceae. The transcript is spliced from 4 exons. The record is from RefSeq and is a predicted model, not a curated record.
UUGAUGUUAAAUGUGUUGUUUAUUUGGCUGAUUUGGUUUUGAUUGUCUCUUAAUAUUAACCAUCUUUGAGUUUUUGCUUCAGUUGUUUGCAGUAGCUAGGGCUUUUGGAGCUUCAGAGUUCAGACAUAAUAGCUGUGGAUGUUCAGGAUGAUAAGUUGCAGAAGGCGAUGACUCUUGGUGCUACACAUAUUGUCAAUGCUGCUAAAGAUGCUGUUGAAAGGAUAAGAGAAACAACAGGUGGGAUGGGUGUGGAUGUUGCUGUUGAAGCCUUGGGAAAGCCUCAAACUUUCAUGCAGUGCACACUAAGUGUGAGAGAUGGUGGAAAAGCUGUGAUGAUUGGACCCUCACAAGCUGGUUCUGUUGGUGAAAUAGACAUAAACCGACUUUUUCGUAGGAAGAUAAAAGUGAUAGGGUCAUAUGGAGGCAGGAUCUUCCUAAAGUAGUGAAACCGGCAGAGUCAGGGAUAUUCAAUCUAGCAAACGCUGUUUCGAGUAGAUACAAGUUUGAGGAUGCAGGAAAAAGCAUUUCAAGAUCUCAAUGAAGGAAAAAUUGUGAGCAGAGGUUUUGGUGAUGACUGCUUCAUACCUGAUUCACUGAGGUCUUGUUUUUUAGUAUUU